RNAcentral lists this non-coding RNA (21 nucleotides) under Caenorhabditis elegans. Lineage: Eukaryota; Metazoa; Nematoda; Chromadorea; Rhabditida; Rhabditidae. The record is from RNAcentral.
UAAUCAACCAUGGAUCUCGUG